This 372-nucleotide ribosomal RNA is filed under the name uncultured organism. Its description in RNAcentral is "bacterial SSU rRNA". It matches the Rfam family "Bacterial small subunit ribosomal RNA", at positions 526 to 896 of the family's 1533-position model. The record is from RNAcentral.
CAGAGGGGGCAAGCGUUGUUCGGAAUUACUGGGCGUAAAGGGCGCGUAGGCGGCCUUCUAAGUCGAACGUGAAAUCCCUGGGCUCAACCCAGGAACUGCGUCCGAUACUGAAAGGCUUGAAUCCGGGAGAGGGAUGCGGAAUUCCAGGUGUAGCGGUGAAAUGCGUAGAUAUCCGGAGGAACACCGGUGGCGAAGGCGGCAUCCUGGACCGGUAUUGACGCUGAGGCGCGAAAGCCAGGGGAGCAAACGGGAUUAGAUACCCCGGUAGUCCUGGCCCUAAACGAUGAAUGCUUGGUGUGGCGGGUAUCGAUCCCUGCCGUGCCGAAGCUAACGCAUUAAGCAUUCCGCCUGGGGAGUACGGUCGCAAGGCUG